This 97-nucleotide small nuclear RNA is filed under the name Chinchilla lanigera (long-tailed chinchilla). Lineage: Eukaryota; Metazoa; Chordata; Mammalia; Rodentia; Chinchillidae. The record is from RNAcentral.
GUGCUCGCUUUAGCAGCACAUAUACUAUAAUAGGAGUGAUACAGAGAUUCAGCACAGCCCAUGCACUUCACAAGCUUGUGAAGUGUUGUAUAUUUUU